UACGUAGGGGCCGAGCGUUGUCCGGAGUUAUUGGGCGUAAAGCGCGCGCAGGCGGCCUCGCGCGCCCGACGUGAAAGCCCCCGGCUUAACCGGGGAGAGUCGUUGGGGACGGCGGGGCUUGAGGGCGGGAGAGGUCGGUGGAAUUCCCGGUGUAGUGGUGAAAUGCGUAGAGAUCGGGAGGAGCACCUGUGGCGAAGGCGGCCGACUGGGCCGACCCUGACGCUGAGGCGCGAAGGCGUGGGGAGCGAACGGG
RNAcentral lists this ribosomal RNA (253 nucleotides) under uncultured bacterium. RNAcentral describes it as "partial 16S ribosomal RNA". It matches the Rfam family "Bacterial small subunit ribosomal RNA", at positions 524 to 776 of the family's 1533-position model. The record is from RNAcentral.